Molecule: ribosomal RNA, 253 nt
Filed under: uncultured bacterium
Lineage: Bacteria
Description: partial 16S ribosomal RNA
Rfam family: Bacterial small subunit ribosomal RNA
Source: RNAcentral
UACAGGGGGUGCAAACGUUGCUCGGAAUUAUUGGGCGUAAAGCGCGCGUAGGCGGCUACUUAAGUCGGAUGUGAAAGCCCCUGGCUCAACUGGGGAAGUGCACCCGAAACUGAGUGGCUUGAGUACUAAAGAGGGUCGCGGAAUUCCCGGUGUAGAGGUGAAAUUCGUAGAUAUCAGGAGGAACACCGGUGGCGAAGGCGGGUCUCUGGGCCGAUACUGACGCUGAGGAGCGAAAGCGUGGGGAGCGAACAGG